Molecule: long non-coding RNA, 575 nt
Organism: Anas platyrhynchos (mallard)
Lineage: Eukaryota; Metazoa; Chordata; Aves; Anseriformes; Anatidae
Source: RefSeq, a predicted model, not a curated record
UGAGGCUUGGGUAGCCUAGGGUGUUUUUCUCUCGUGGUGAAUCGGGCUCGGUGUUCCCUACUAGGCUGCUUUUCCUUCAUGUUUUCUGCCACUAGGCUGCUUUUCCUUCAUGUUUUUUGCCCUCUCUGUGAAAUAGUUUUAGAGACUCUAUGAGCUAGUUACAUUGGUGUUGCCUUCUUCAGAAAAACUCUGGUGGCACUAUUUCACUGUGAAGCACUUUGGAAGUGACUCGAGUUCAGAAGACAGCAGGUGGAUUCUAAGCUCCCUUCCAAGCACUGGAGGAAAAAAAAGGCCUCAAAAGCCCAAGUGCACACAGGUCAGCCUGACAUUGAAGAAUGUUCUUAAGUAUUUGGAAGAUUGAAAAAUGGGCUGUGUGAAAAAGGUGCCUUAAUGUGAAUGCAGAUUUUGCCUUGUGGUCAAAAGCAGUAUGAAGAAAGUCUGUCAUCUUCCCAUCAGGCCUGGGUUUCAGCUGGGUACUGCUUCCUGAAGAGGUCCAGCAACUUGAAGAGAAUUGAUCUUCCUCCCAAGCUCUAUGAACCAGAGUCUCAGCUAUCAGGGGUAAGCAUCUUUCUGUG